RNAcentral lists this ribosomal RNA (421 nucleotides) under Fusobacteriota bacterium. RNAcentral describes it as "Fusobacteria bacterium partial 16S ribosomal RNA". It matches the Rfam family "Bacterial small subunit ribosomal RNA", at positions 355 to 776 of the family's 1533-position model. The record is from RNAcentral. Lineage: Bacteria; Fusobacteriati; Fusobacteriota.
UGGGGAAUAUUGCACAAUGGACGGAAGUUUGAUGCAGCGACGCCGCGUGGAGGGUGUAGGCCUUCGGGUUGUGAACUCCUUUUUCUCGCGAAAAAGGCACAGUUUUGGCUGUGUUGAUGGUAGUGGGGGAAGAAGCGCCGGCUAACUACGUGCCAGCAGCCGCGGUAAUACGUAGGGCGCGAGCGUUGUCCGGAUUUAUUGGACGUAAAGAGCUCGUAGGUGGUUCGUCGCGUCUGUCGUGAAAGCCAGCAGCUUAACUGUUGGUCUGCGGUGGGUACGGGCGGGCUUGAGUGCGGUAGGGGUGACUGGAAUUCCUGGUGUAGCGGUGGAAUGCGCAGAUAUCAGGAGGAACACCGAUGGCGAAGGCAGGUCACUGGGCCGUUACUGACACUGAGGAGCGAAAGCGUGGGGAGCGAACAGG